GGAUGUGAUAGCGCUCUGGCUAUGACAUCUGGCACACCAUUGAUGAAGAGGAUUGAUUUGACUGGUCUUGCUGGCUAGGUGGGUGCCCUCUUAUUUUCUUACUGCUCCAUGUGAUUCCUUCCUGAAGCUGCACACUUGGACGGAUCACAUCCCAGACAGAAGGAAUGCACCAUUCUUUGGUCAAAGGUAUAUGAUAGUUGUGAUACUUUGCUGGAACCCCCAAGCAAUCCAAAGACAGUCCUAAGUUAAGCAAAGCUAGGAUUACAAGUUUAUAUAUGUUUGUCAUGAAACCAGCUUGUGUAAACAAGUCUGG
RNAcentral lists this small nuclear RNA (313 nucleotides) under Salvator merianae (Argentine black and white tegu). Its description in RNAcentral is "7SK RNA (ENSSMRG00000003613.1)". It matches the Rfam family "7SK RNA". From Rfam's summary of the family: 7SK was discovered as an abundant small nuclear RNA in the mid-70s but a possible function has only recently been suggested. The record is from Rfam by way of RNAcentral. Lineage: Eukaryota; Metazoa; Chordata; Lepidosauria; Squamata; Teiidae.